This 73-nucleotide transfer RNA is filed under the name Aquilonastra minor. RNAcentral describes it as "tRNA-Gln". It matches the Rfam family "tRNA". Rfam says of the family: Transfer RNA (tRNA) molecules are approximately 80 nucleotides in length. Their secondary structure includes four short double-helical elements and three loops (D, anti-codon, and T loops). Lineage: Eukaryota; Metazoa; Echinodermata; Asteroidea; Valvatida; Asterinidae. The record is from RNAcentral.
UAGAAAGUAGUAUAAUCCGUAAAACAAAGAACUUUGAUUUCUUAGAUAUUAAGGUCAAUUCUUAUCUUUCUAA